AUGGGUGUUGACGGCUUCAUGAUGGUAAGAAGAGAACCCCCAGUCAUCCAGCUGGCGUGGCAGCCAAAGAGAAACACUUAAUCGGAUGGAGAUGAGAGCCCACCAGAGCAUAUAAUAGUCGCUGCUCCAAGAAGGCUGAGAUUCUAGGAUGCACGCACAGCCCACUCUCAACUCAUGACCUCCUCUGUGCCCAGGGAGCAGAACCUGCUAAUGAGAGGAACAGAAAAACCCACACAGAGUUAGAGGAAAAAGAACAAUAACUGAAAAUCCUAAGGAAUUCUUCCACUUCCUAGACAUGUAAGCACAAAUUUGGAAUGCUGGGUAGAAGACUCCCCAACAGAUGGGGAAACUGAGGUCGAUUGAAGUUAAGUGACGUACCAAGGUCACCCAGCCAUCAGUGACAGAGCCAGGAGUCAAACCUGGAUCAUCUGACUCCAGUGCACAGGCUCUGAAGGAUCCAGAAUGCUCUGAAACAUUCCAAGCCGUGUUGCAUCCUCACUCAGAAACCCUUGUUCUUCCUGUCAUCCCAGGGAGCCCUCCAAGCCCCACCAGAGUUCCAGAAAUCCACACUUUUGGGGAGGCACCAAGCUAUGGGGUAGAGUGUCCCACCCUCCUCCUUUUCUACCAGCAUCUGGCAACCGUUCUGGGGAGAAUGGAGACAGUGGCUCUUCCUGUGGCUUUCUUUGCUCACAGGGACCUGCUGCCUGGUUCUUGGCAAUUCUGCAUCUCCACAGCAUCCAAGUUUUCAUUGCCUAACACCAGAAAUCCUGUGGUCAUUGCCAUGGCACCUCAUAGGCUUCCCUGACCCCUUCCCACUGCCAUGCAAGACCUACACAGAGAUUCUCGUCUCUGGAAAUAUGCCACCUGGACCAGCCCAUUAUUUCUUUGGCUCAGACCCAAACUCACUCUUCAACCUCCUUCCCUACUGAACACAGGACUCCCUAGUACCAAAAACACUCACCACAUGCUUAUCAUGUCUGGGAUAGGCACUGCACUCUACAGUUACAAGCACUGCCUAAUUCAAUUCACCCAACUACUCUUUGGAGACACGUUAUCUUCAUUUACAUAUAGGAAAAUACAUAAGAUGGUAAUUGGCAGAGAAAGAACCCCAAAAGUUCUUAACACUCUUACAAGGGAAUUUGCAAUAAUAACAGGAAAAUAAUAAGUUUUUGGCAUUCUUUAGAAAAAGAAAAUAUUCAAAAAAUUAAUUCAACUAUCUGGUAGUAGGUAAGCACCAUGAGGGCAUAGAUUUUUGCCUGUUUUGUUCACUGACUUGUCUCAGUGCUAGAACUUGGUUCAGUACAUAGUAGAUGCUCAAUAAAGAACUUUGAAUGAAUGCUUUGUAGACUCUCCUGGUUCAUUUAUUUUUUCAACAAAACAUAUAUUAUGUGUUAGGCUCUGGACUAGGAGCUGGAGUUACAAAGAUGAACAAGACAUGUUUCCAUCCCACA
This 1451-nucleotide long non-coding RNA is filed under the name Homo sapiens (human). Its description in RNAcentral is "non-protein coding lnc-METTL22-12:1". The record is from RNAcentral. Lineage: Eukaryota; Metazoa; Chordata; Mammalia; Primates; Hominidae.